Molecule: ribosomal RNA, 263 nt
Filed under: uncultured archaeon
Lineage: Archaea
Description: partial 16S ribosomal RNA
Rfam family: Archaeal small subunit ribosomal RNA
Source: RNAcentral
CACUGACUAUUAGACUACCCGGUAGUCCCAGCCGUAAACUAUGCGCGUUAGGUGUAUCGGUGACCACGAGUUACCGAGGUGCCGAAGGGAAACCGUGAAACGUGCCGCCUGGGAAGUACGGUCGCAAGGCUGAAACUUAAAGGAAUUGGCGGGGGAGCACCACAACAGGUGGAGCCUGCGGUUUAAUUGGACUCAACGCCGGGAAGCUCACCGGAUAGGACAGCAGAAUGAUUGCCGGGCUGAAGACCCUGCAUGACUAGCUG